GACGAACGCUGGCGGCGUGGAUUAGGCAUGCAAGUCGAACGGUAGGAUACCUUCGGGUAUCUGAGAGUGGCGAACGGGUGAGUAACACGUAGGUGAUCUACCCUCAAGAUUGGGACAACCCAGGGAAACUUGGGCUAAUACCGGAUGAAAGCAGCAGUGAUGUUGUUUGAAAGGUGGCGUAAGCUGCCGUUUGGGGAUGAGCCUGCGCUCUAUUAGUUAGUUGGCGGGGUAAAGGCCCACCAAGGCGAUGAUAGAUAGGCGGCCUUAACGGGUGGUCGCCCACACUGGGAUUGAGAUACGGCCCAGACUCCUACGGGAGGCAGCAGUCGAGAAUAGUCUACAAUGGCCGAAAAGGCUGAUAGUGCGACGCCGCGUGAACGAAGAAGCCCUUCGGGGUGUAAAGUUCUUUUAUAUGUGAGCAGUGCUUUCUAUGUGAACAGCAUGGGGAGAGGAUAUUAGCAUAUGAAUAAGCAACGGCUAAACUCGUGCC
RNAcentral lists this ribosomal RNA (490 nucleotides) under uncultured bacterium. RNAcentral's name for it is "bacterial SSU rRNA". It matches the Rfam family "Bacterial small subunit ribosomal RNA", at positions 28 to 509 of the family's 1533-position model. The record is from RNAcentral.